UCAAGUUAUUAAGGGUGCAGGGCGGAUGCCUUGGCACUAGGAGCCGAUGAAGGACGUGAUAAGCUGCGAUAAGCUUCGGGGAGUUGCACGUAAACUUUGAUCCGAAGAUUUCCGAAUGAGGAAACUCACUUAGAGUAAUGUCUAAGUAUCAUUAAGUGAAUACAUAGCUUAAUGAGGGGAACUCAGGGAACUGAAACAUCUAAGUACCUGAAGGAAGAGAAAGAAAUUCGAUUCCGUAAGUAGCGGCGAGCGAACGCGGAUUAGCCCAAACCAAUAAAGUUUUCUUUAUUGGGGUUGCGGACAUAUCAUAACGAAGAGGUAUCGUAAUUGAAGAGGUUUGGAAAGACCCACCACAGAAGGUAAUAGUCCUGUAUGUUAAACGAGAAGACUUCAGAUAUGAUCCAGAGUACCACGGGACACGUGAAACCCUGUGGGAAGCAGGAGGGACCACCCUCCAAGGCUAAAUACUACCUAGUGACCGAUAGCGUAUAGUACCGUGAGGGAAAGGUGAAAAGAACCCCGGGAGGGGAGUGAAAUAGAACCUGAAACCCUGCACUUACAAGCUGUGGAAGCACAUUUCUUGUGUGACCGCGUACUUUUUGUAGAACGGGCCAACGAGUUACGUUAAGUAGCAAGGUUAAGCACUUAAGGUGCGGAGCCGUAGCGAAAGCGAGUUUUAACUGAGCGUUCAGUUACUUGACGUAGACCCGAAACCGGGCGACCUACCCAUGAGCAGGAUGAAGCGAAAGUAAAAUUUCGUGGAGGUCCGAACCCACGAGCGUUGAAAAGCUCGGGGAUGACUUGUGGGUAGCGGUGAAAUUCCAAUCGAGCCCGGAGAUAGCUGGUUCUCCCCGAAAUAGCUUUAGGGCUAGCCUCAAGGUGAGAGAUACGGAGGUAGAGCACUGAAUGUCCUAGGGGGUAUUGCACCUACCGAAGACUAUCAAACUCCGAAUGCCGUCAUCUUAUACUUGGGAGUCAGACUGUGGGUGAUAAGAUUCAUAGUCGAAAGGGCAACAGCCCAGAUCGUCAGCUAAGGUCCCUAAAUGUAAGUUAAGUGGUAAAGGAUGUGGGAUUGCACAGACAACCAGGAUGUUGGCUUAGAAGCAGCCACUCAUUCAAAGAGUGCGUAAUAGCUCACUGGUCGAGUGAUCCUGCGCCGAAGAUUUCCGGGGCUAAAACUUACUACCGAAGCUACGGCAUCAGUAAUGAUGGGUAGGGGAGCUUCCCAUACGGGUUGAAGCAUGACCGUAAGGACAUGUGGACAGUAUGGGAGUGAGAAUGUUGGCAUGAGUAGCGAGAUGUGGGUGAGAAUCCCACAGGCCGUAAACCCAAGGUUUCCAGGGGAAGGUUCGUCCGCCCUGGGUUAGUCGGGACCUAAGCUGAGGCCGAAAGGCGUAGGUGAUGGACAACAGGUUGAUAUUCCUGUACUACCGAUAACCGUUUGAGAGAAGGGAUGACACAGUAGGAUAAGCUAAGCACACUGUUGGUUAUGUGUGCCCAAGCAUUGAGGCAGUCAAAGUAGGCAAAUCCGCUUUGAUAAUGCUGGGAUGUGAUGGGGAGCGAAAUUUAGUAGCGAAGUAGCUGAUUUCACACUGUCAAGAAAAGUCUCUAUCGAGGUUAAAGGUACCCGUACCGCAAACCGACACAGGUGGGUGAGGAGAGUAUCCUAAGGCCAGCGAGAGAACUGUUGUUAAGGAACUCGGCAAAAUGACCCCGUAACUUAGGGAUAAGGGGUGCCACCAUCAGGUGGCCGCAGAGAAUAGGCCCAAGCGACUGUUUACCAAAAACAUAGGUUUCUGCUAAGUCGCAAGACGAUGUAUAGGAGCUGACGCCUGCCCGGUGCUGGAAGGUUAAGGGGAUCUGUUAGAGCAAUCGAAGCAGUGAACUUAAGCCCCAGUAAACGGCGGCCGUAACUAUAACGGUCCUAAGGUAGCGAAAUUCCUUGUCGGGUAAGUUCCGACCCGCACGAAAGGCGUAACGAUUUGGGCACUGUCUCAACAACAGACUCGGUGAAAUUGUAAUUCCGGUGAAGAUGCCGGAUACCUGCGACAGGACGGAAAGACCCCAUGGAGCUUUACUGUAGCUUGACAUUGGGUCUUGGUACUACAUGUACAGGAUAGGUGGGAGGCUUUGAAACCAGGACGCCAGUUUUGGCGGAGCCAUCCUUGGGAUACCACCCUUGUAGUACUGGGACUCUAACCAUAGGCCAUGAAUCUGGUCUUGGGACACUGUCAGGUGGGCAGUUUGACUGGGGCGGUCGCCUCCCAAAAGGUAACGGAGGCGCUCAAAGGUUCUCUCAGUACGGUCGGAAAUCGUACGUAGAGUGUAAAGGCAAAAGAGAGCUUGAUUGCAAGACAUACAGGUCGAGCAAGGAUGAAAAUCGGACUUAGUGAUCCGGUGGUUCUGCGUGGAAGGGCCAUCGCUCAACGGAUAAAAGCUACCCUGGGGAUAACAGGCUUAUCUCCCCCAAGAGUCCACAUCGACGGGGAGGUUUGGCACCUCGAUGUCGGCUCAUCACAUCCUGGGGCUGUAGUAGGUCCCAAGGGUUGGGCUGUUCGCCCAUUAAAGUGGUACGCGAGCUGGGUUCAGAACGUCGUGAGACAGUUCGGUCCCUAUCCGUCGCAGGCGUAGGAAAUUUGAGAAGACCUGUCCUUAGUACGAGAGGACCGGGAUGGACGUACCUCUGGUGUACCAGUUGUUCUGCCAAGGGCAUGGCUGGGUAGCUAUGUACGGAAUGGAUAAGCGCUGAAAGCAUCUAAGCGCGAAGCCAACUUCAAGAUAAGAUUUCCCACCGCAAGGGUAAGACCCCAGAAAGACUAUCUGGUUGAUAGGUCGAAGGUGUAAGUGCAGCAAUGUAUUUAGCUUAUCGAUACUAAUAGGUC
Molecule: ribosomal RNA, 2882 nt
Filed under: Clostridioides difficile
Lineage: Bacteria; Bacillati; Bacillota; Clostridia; Peptostreptococcales; Peptostreptococcaceae
Description: 23S ribosomal RNA
Rfam family: Bacterial large subunit ribosomal RNA
Source: RNAcentral